Molecule: small nuclear RNA, 243 nt
Filed under: Cervus hanglu yarkandensis (Yarkand deer)
Lineage: Eukaryota; Metazoa; Chordata; Mammalia; Artiodactyla; Cervidae
Description: U2 spliceosomal RNA (ENSCHYG00000017956.1)
Rfam family: U2 spliceosomal RNA
About the family: U2 is a small nuclear RNA (snRNA) component of the spliceosome (involved in pre-mRNA splicing). Complementary binding between U2 snRNA (in an area lying towards the 5' end but 3' to hairpin I) and the branchpoint sequence (BPS) of the intron results the bulging out of an unpaired adenosine, on the BPS, which initiates a nucleophilic attack at the intronic 5' splice site, thus starting the first of two transesterification reactions that mediate splicing.
Source: RNAcentral
AUCGCUUCUCGGCCUUUUGGCUAAGAUCAAGUGUAGUAACAAAUGCACCGUUCUGGAGGCAGGUGUUGAUGGUUGGGGAGGAAGCUAUCCCUGUUGGGAGUGGGGGGGGGGGGGUCUGUCUAUACCUUCUUUUUUUUUUUUUUUUAGUUUUUCCUUUUUUCAUUUCAUAGGAUAUCUAGAGUCACCAACUGUAAAGGGAAAAGCCAGUUCUCACACUUUUACUUAGUGCUAUGAUUACUAAAU